CGGCAGGUAGCUUACUGGUUAAGAGCGUUGGGCUAGUAACCGAAAGGUUGCAGGUUCGAAUCCCCGAGCCAA
This 72-nucleotide transfer RNA is filed under the name Salmo salar (Atlantic salmon). It matches the Rfam family "tRNA". Rfam says of the family: Transfer RNA (tRNA) molecules are approximately 80 nucleotides in length. Their secondary structure includes four short double-helical elements and three loops (D, anti-codon, and T loops). Further hydrogen bonds mediate the characteristic L-shaped molecular structure. tRNAs have two regions of fundamental functional importance: the anti-codon, which is responsible for specific mRNA codon recognition, and the 3' end, to which the tRNAs corresponding amino acid is attached (by aminoacyl-tRNA synthetases). tRNAs cope with the degeneracy of the genetic code in two manners: having more than one tRNA (with a specific anti-codon) for a particular amino acid; and 'wobble' base-pairing, i.e. permitting non-standard base-pairing at the 3rd anti-codon position. RNAcentral also lists the same sequence under 1 other name. The record is from Rfam by way of RNAcentral. Lineage: Eukaryota; Metazoa; Chordata; Actinopteri; Salmoniformes; Salmonidae.